RNAcentral lists this ribosomal RNA (460 nucleotides) under uncultured Bacteroidota bacterium. Its description in RNAcentral is "bacterial SSU rRNA". It matches the Rfam family "Bacterial small subunit ribosomal RNA", at positions 338 to 795 of the family's 1533-position model. Lineage: Bacteria; Pseudomonadati; Bacteroidota. The record is from RNAcentral.
CCUACGGGAGGCUGCAGUGAGGAAUAUUGGUCAAUGGGCGCAAGCCUGAACCAGCCAUCCCGCGUGCAGGAUGACGGCCCUAUGGGUUGUAAACUGCUUUUAUACAGGAAGAAAAAUCCCUACGUGUAGGGACCUGCCGGUACUGUAUGAAUAAGCAUCGGCUAACUCCGUGCCAGCAGCCGCGGUAAUACGGAGGAUGCAAGCGUUAUCCGGAUUCAUUGGGUUUAAAGGGUGCGUAGGCGGCUUUUUAAGUCAGUGGUGAAAUCCUGUCGCUCAACGAUAGAAUUGCCAUUGAUACUGAAGAGCUUGAGUUCAGUUGAGGUAAGCGGAAUGUGUAGUGUAGCGGUGAAAUGCUUAGAUAUUACACAGAACACCGAUUGCGAAGGCAGCUUACUAAACUGACACUGACGCUGAUGCACGAAAGCGUGGGGAUCGAACAGGAUUAGAUACCCCUGUAGUC